Molecule: transfer RNA, 94 nt
Filed under: Couchioplanes azureus
Lineage: Bacteria; Bacillati; Actinomycetota; Actinomycetes; Micromonosporales; Micromonosporaceae
Description: Couchioplanes caeruleus subsp. azureus tRNA-Ser
Source: RNAcentral
GGUCGGCCUGGUCGAGCUGGAGCGCCGACAGGUUGACGCUGACGCUCAGGGGACGCCGGCCCUCCCGGCGGGCGUUCCAGGCGGCCGCCUGCCG